Molecule: ribosomal RNA, 252 nt
Filed under: uncultured bacterium
Lineage: Bacteria
Description: partial 16S ribosomal RNA
Rfam family: Bacterial small subunit ribosomal RNA
Source: RNAcentral
UACGGAGGAUGCGAGCGUUAUCCGGAUUUAUUGGGUUUAAAGGGUGCGUAGGCGGACUGUCAAGUCAGCGGUAAAAUUGAGAGGCUCAACCUCUUCCCGCCGUUGAAACUGGUGGUCUUGAGUGGAUGAGAAGUACGCGGAGUGCGUGGUGUAGCGGUGAUAUGCAUAGAUAUCACGCAGAACUCCGAUUGCGAAGGCAGCGUACCGACAUCCAACUGACGCUGAGGCACGAAAGCGUGGGGAUCAAACAGG